This 433-nucleotide unclassified non-coding RNA is filed under the name soil metagenome. RNAcentral's name for it is "partial contains 5.8S ribosomal RNA, internal transcribed spacer 2, and large subunit ribosomal RNA". The stretch from base 1 to 120 matches the Rfam family "5.8S ribosomal RNA", at positions 35 to 154 of the family's 154-position model. The record is from RNAcentral.
GAUGAAGAACGCAGCGAAAUGCGAUACGUAAUGUGAAUUGCAGAAUUCAGUGAAUCAUCGAAUCUUUGAACGCAUAUUGCGCUCUCUGGUAUUCCGGAGAGCAUGCUUGUUUGAGUAUCAGUAAACACCUCAACUCCCCUUUCUUUUUUUGAAAUGGGAGCUGGACUUGAGUGAUCCCAACGCUUUUCUCACCGAAAAGUGGCGGGUUACUUGAAAUGCAGGUGCAGCUGGACUUUUCUCUGAGCUAAAAGCAUAUCUAUUUAGUCUGCCUAAAAAACAGAUUAUUACCUUUGCUGCAGCUAACAUAAAGGAGAUUAGUUCUUGUGCUGACUGAUGCAGGAUUCACAGAGACAGCUUCGGCUGGCCUUUGUAAACUCGAUCUCAAAUCAAGUAAGACUACCCGCUGAACUUAAGCAUAUCAAUAAGCGGAAGA